AUGAGCUUCUAUAGCCUCCAUGAGACGCUCCAUAAGGCAAUUGCCAAGUACCAGUCCAGAUUCUUCUGGGCUGGCGAGGAUGAUAAGCAAAAGUACCACAUGGUGAGCUGGCCGGAUAUCUGCAAACCCAAGGACCAGGGUGGUCUUGGGAUAUUGUCCUCCCGGCGCAUGAACAUUGCCCUCCUGACCCGUUGGCUCUGGCACAUUGCUAAUGGCGACGGAGGCCUUUGGCUCACCAUCAUCCGGAACAAGUACCUUCAUGGACAACCACUCGCAUUCUGUCAGCGCUCGGGCGGCUCCCAGUUUUGGCAGGCCGUCAUCCAGCUGCUACCUGUGCUUCACAUUGGCACAUCCAUCUCGGUUGGUACUGGGUCCUCGACCCUGUUCUGGUUUGAUCGGUGGAUUGGCGACAUCCCCCUGGCCGCACGAUUUUCAGAGCUAUUCGCCAUUGCUGUUGACCCUCGGUCUCUGUCGAGUCGGCCCUUAUUGACUUAG
RNAcentral lists this ribosomal RNA (495 nucleotides) under Triticum aestivum (bread wheat). RNAcentral's name for it is "partial small subunit ribosomal RNA". The record is from RNAcentral. Lineage: Eukaryota; Viridiplantae; Streptophyta; Magnoliopsida; Poales; Poaceae.